CAAUAGCGUAUAUUAAAGUUGUUGCAGUUAGAACGCUCGUAGUCGGAUUUCGGGGCGGGCCGACCGGUCUGCCGAUGGGUACGCACUGGUCGGCGCGUCCUUCCUUCCGGAGACCGUCCCUACUCUUAACUGAGCGGGGGCGGGAGACGGAACGUUUACUUUGAAAAAAUCAGAGUGUUUCAAGCAGGCAGCUCGCUCUUGCAUGGAUUAGCAUGGGAUAAUGAAAUAGGACUUUGGUGCUAUUUUGUUGGUUUCGAACACCGAAGUAAUGAUGAGAAGGGACAGUCAGGGGCACUCGUAUUCCGCCGAGAGAGGUGAAAUUCUCAGACCAGCGGAAGACGAACCACUGCGAAAGCAUUUGCCAGGGAUGUUUNCACUGA
RNAcentral lists this ribosomal RNA (380 nucleotides) under uncultured eukaryote. RNAcentral describes it as "partial 18S ribosomal RNA". It matches the Rfam family "Eukaryotic small subunit ribosomal RNA", at positions 592 to 976 of the family's 1831-position model. The record is from RNAcentral.